CAAUAGCCCCGAUUGGAGUGGCUCCCGAUUUUUCAUCGGGAAGAACGGAAAGCGGGAAUAAGG
Molecule: non-coding RNA, 63 nt
Organism: Flavobacterium cauense R2A-7
Lineage: Bacteria; Pseudomonadati; Bacteroidota; Flavobacteriia; Flavobacteriales; Flavobacteriaceae
Source: Rfam